GACGAACGCUGGCGGCGUGCUUAACACAUGCAAGUCGAACGAUGAUGCUCCAGCUUGCUGGGGUGGAUUAGUGGCGAACGGGUGAGUAACACGUGAGUAACCUGCCCCCUUCUUCGGGAUAAGCUUGGGAAACUGGGUCUAAUACUGGAUAUUCUGCAAUUGUCGCUUGGUGGUUGUGGGAAAGAUUUUUUGGUGGGGGAUGGGCUCGCGGCCUAUCAGCUUGUUGGUGGGGUGAUGGCCUACCAAGGCGUCGACGGGUAGCCGGCCUGAGAGGGUGACCGGCCAGACUGGGACUGAGAUACGGCCCAGAAUCCUACGGGAGGCAGCAGUGGGGAAUAUUGCACAAUGGGCGCAAGCUUGAUGCAGCGACGCCGCGUGAGGGAUGACGGCUUUCGGGUUGUAAACCUCUUUCGAUGGGGAACAAGGCCAUAUUGUUGUGUGGUUGAGGGUACCUGUAUAAGAAGCGCCGGCUAACUACGUG
RNAcentral lists this ribosomal RNA (481 nucleotides) under uncultured bacterium. RNAcentral's name for it is "partial 16S ribosomal RNA". It matches the Rfam family "Bacterial small subunit ribosomal RNA", at positions 28 to 507 of the family's 1533-position model. The record is from RNAcentral.